GCUGGGUAUGCUGGUGUAUACCUGUAGUCCUAGCUACUCAGGAGGCUGAGGCGGGAGGAUCACUUGAGCCUGGGAAGUUGAGGGUGCAGUGAGCCAUGAUCAGGCCACUGCACUCCAGCCUGGGCAACAGAGCAAGACCCUGUCUCAA
This is an unclassified non-coding RNA of Macaca fascicularis (crab-eating macaque), 148 nucleotides long. It matches the Rfam family "Metazoan signal recognition particle RNA". From Rfam's summary of the family: The signal recognition particle (SRP) is a universally conserved ribonucleoprotein. It is involved in the co-translational targeting of proteins to membranes. The record is from Ensembl. Lineage: Eukaryota; Metazoa; Chordata; Mammalia; Primates; Cercopithecidae.